This is a non-coding RNA of Pelobates cultripes (western spadefoot toad), 1072 nucleotides long. The record is from the annotation of a GenBank genome assembly. NCBI's taxonomy places the organism in Eukaryota, Metazoa, Chordata, Amphibia, Anura, Pelobatidae.
CUCAAUCUGUCACGGCUCUCUGCUCUUCUGUCGGAGUUUCUAACUUACCUUGGUCGUGGCGGGCAGCUGCCUGGUCACCCUCCAUUCUGGUCCCCAGUGGGUGCGUGACGUUCUUAGAAACGCUGGCUGCUGUGGUUCAGGAUUUUAUAAUAAACUUACCUUCGCCCACAUUAAAGAUGCCGCCAAUGUGCGUGCGACGUCACGUCAUAGAUGUGCACGCACUUUUUGGGGUCAGAGGUCCGAGACAGCCAAUUACAGCCUAAAGAGGGUUAUUUAAACCCUAAAUUACCUUUUUGCCAGUGUCCUGUCGUAUUUUCCACUAGCUGGUUAUCCAAGAGUGUGUUCCUGAUUGUGUUUAUUCUGGUAUUUGACUUUGGCUUUGUUUUGACUUCCUUGAUUUCUGGUAUUCUUGACUUCUGACUUUCCUCAUCGUUGCAUCUCAUUCUGUGCCCCUGACCUCGGCAAGUAUUUUGACUAUUCUCUGGUACAUUAUUUCCGGCCAUUCUAAGGUCCGGUUAGACGUUAUCCUUAGUCUUUAGGUGUGAUACAAUUCUGCGUGCUGGAUCAACUAUAAUCCUGACACAACCAUCUCCCACUGGAGUCUGUCACUACUAUUGAUAACAAAAAAGGUAGCAGUAUAUGAAUAUGUUGUUAUAAAACACAGUUUGAAUAAAGGUAUCAAACUGACAUUAGCAAUAUAAUUUUCAUAAUAUUACUUUCUAAGUAAUGUAUCAUAAAUCUAUCUAAUUCUGGCAUUUUGUGGACAUAUGCUAAUGCAAGUAGACCUUUCUUGAGAAUUUUGCAACCAAACUUCAGAAAAUUGCAUAAACAUUGGGACUGCAACAGCUACACAUUAUGUGUAUCCUCUAUAUUUUUAAGAGUCAUUUCCUUGGCAUCAAUGUCUUGUCAGUUUCUUGACAUUAAUUGAUCUUAUUGGUACUCAUUAGAUUGUUAUCCUUGGUCAUAUGUUGUGUUCCAGGUGUUGAAGUUGAAGAAAGUAAAAAUAUAAUAUAGAAAAAAAGCGAGUGACAUCACAAUCAAUCUGCAAAACAAGAAGGCAAAAAUUAUUUUU